GACGAACGCUGGCGGCGCGCUUAACACAUGCAAGUCGAGCGAUGAAACUUUAACAGAACCCUUCGGGGCGAAGAUAAAGUGGAUUAGCGGCGGACGGGUGAGUAACACGUGAGUAGCCUGCCUUAGACAUUGGGAUAGCCUCGGGAAACCGGGAUUAAUACCAAAUAAAAUCAUAAUGACACAUGUCAUAACGAUCAAAACUCCGGUGGUCUAAGAUGGACUCGCGUCCCAUUAGCUAGUUGGCAGAGUAAAAGCCUACCAAGGCGACGAUGGGUAGCCGGCCUGAGAGGGUGAACGGCCACAUUGGAACUGAGAAACGGUCCAAACUCCUACGGGAGGCAGCAGUGGGGAAUAUUGCACAAUGGAGGGAACUCUGAUGCAGCGACGCCGCGUGAACGAAGAAGGCUUUCGAGUCGUAAAGUUCUUUUAUAUGGGAAGAUAAUGACGGUACCAUAAGAAAAAGCCCCGGCUAACUACGUG
This 480-nucleotide ribosomal RNA is filed under the name uncultured bacterium. RNAcentral describes it as "partial 16S ribosomal RNA". It matches the Rfam family "Bacterial small subunit ribosomal RNA", at positions 28 to 507 of the family's 1533-position model. The record is from RNAcentral.